UAGUCAUAUGCUUGUCUCAAAGAUUAACCCUUGCAUGUCUAAGUAUAAGCAAUCUAUACGGUGAAACUGCGAAUGGCUCAUUAAAUCAGUUAUCGUUUAUUUGAUAGUACCUUACUACUUGGAUAACCGUGGUAAUUCUAGAGCUAAUACAUGCUAAAAACCCCGACUUCGGAAGGGGUGUAUUUAUUAAAUAAAAAACCAAUGCCCUUCGGGGCUCCCUGGUGAUUCAUAAUAACUUAACGAAUCGCAUGGCCUUGUGCCGGCAAUGGUUCAUUCAAAUUUCUGCCCUAUCAACUUUCGAUGGUAGGAUAGUGGCCUACCAUGGUUUCAACGGGUAACGGGGAAUUAGGGUUCUAUUCCGGAAAGGGAGCCUGAAAAACGGCUGCCACAUCCAAGGAAGGCAGCAGGCGCGCAAAUUACCCAAUCCCGACACGGGGAGGUAGUGACAAUAAAUACUGAUACAGGGCUCAUUUGGGUCUUGUAAUUGGAAUGAGUACAAUUUAAAUCCCUUAACGAGGAACAAUU
Molecule: ribosomal RNA, 525 nt
Filed under: uncultured eukaryote
Lineage: Eukaryota
Description: SSU rRNA
Rfam family: Eukaryotic small subunit ribosomal RNA
Source: RNAcentral